This 69-nucleotide transfer RNA is filed under the name Scapanulus oweni (Gansu mole). RNAcentral describes it as "tRNA-Gly". It matches the Rfam family "tRNA". From Rfam's summary of the family: Transfer RNA (tRNA) molecules are approximately 80 nucleotides in length. Their secondary structure includes four short double-helical elements and three loops (D, anti-codon, and T loops). Further hydrogen bonds mediate the characteristic L-shaped molecular structure. tRNAs have two regions of fundamental functional importance: the anti-codon, which is responsible for specific mRNA codon recognition, and the 3' end, to which the tRNAs corresponding amino acid is attached (by aminoacyl-tRNA synthetases). tRNAs cope with the degeneracy of the genetic code in two manners: having more than one tRNA (with a specific anti-codon) for a particular amino acid; and 'wobble' base-pairing, i.e. permitting non-standard base-pairing at the 3rd anti-codon position. Lineage: Eukaryota; Metazoa; Chordata; Mammalia; Eulipotyphla; Talpidae. The record is from RNAcentral.
ACUCUUCUAGUAUUAAAAAGUACAGCUGACUUCCAAUCAGCUAGUCUCGGUUUAAUCCGAGGAAGAGUA